AUACGGAGGGUGCAAGCGUUGUUCGGAAUCACUGGGCGUAAAGGGCGCGCAGGCGGUUUGGUAAGUCAGAUGUGAAAGCCCACGGCUCAACCGUGGAAGUGCAUUUGAAACUGUCAGCCUUGAGUACUAGAGGGGAAAGUGGAAUUCCCGGUGUAGAGGUGAAAUUCGUAGAUAUCGGGAGGAAUACCGGUGGCGAAGGCGACUUUCUGGCUAGAUACUGACGCUGAGGCGCGAAAGCGUGGGGAGCAAACAGGAUUAGAAACCCUAGUAGUCC
RNAcentral lists this ribosomal RNA (274 nucleotides) under uncultured bacterium. RNAcentral's name for it is "partial 16S ribosomal RNA". It matches the Rfam family "Bacterial small subunit ribosomal RNA", at positions 523 to 796 of the family's 1533-position model. The record is from RNAcentral.